UACGUAGGGGGCAAGCGUUAUCCGGAAUUACUGGGUGUAAAGGGAAAGUAGGCGGCAAGGUAAGCGAUAUGUGAAAGCCUUAGGCUUAACCUGAGGAUUGCAUAACGAACUAUCUAGCUAGAGUACAGGAGAGGAAAGCGGAAUUCCUAGUGUAGCGGUGAAGUGCGUAGAUAUUAGGAAGAACACCAGUGGCGAAGGCGGCUUUCCGGACUGAAACUGACGCUGAGGCUCGAAAGCGUGGGGAGCGAACAGG
This 253-nucleotide ribosomal RNA is filed under the name uncultured bacterium. RNAcentral describes it as "partial 16S ribosomal RNA". It matches the Rfam family "Bacterial small subunit ribosomal RNA", at positions 524 to 776 of the family's 1533-position model. The record is from RNAcentral.